GAACCGGGCAAACGUUAUUCGGAAUUACUGGGCUUAAAGGGUGCGUAGGCGGCGCUUCAAGUCGGGUGUGAAAUCCCCCAGCUCAACUGGGGAACUGCGCCCGAAACUGGAGUGCUUGAGGGAGAUAGAGGUGAGCGGAACGAAUGGUGGAGCGGUGAAAUGCGUUGAUAUCAUUCGGAACACCCGUGGCGAAAGCGGCUCACUGGGUCUCUUCUGACGCUGAGGCACGAAAGCUAGGGGAGCGAACGGGGAUUAGAUACCCCGGUAGUCCUAGCUGUAAACGAUGAGCACUAGAUCGGGGAGCCCCUCCACAGCCUCCCCCCGAUCGUAGCGAAAGUGUUAAGUGCUCCGCCUGGGGAGUAUGGUCGCAAGGCUG
RNAcentral lists this ribosomal RNA (376 nucleotides) under uncultured organism. RNAcentral describes it as "partial 16S ribosomal RNA". It matches the Rfam family "Bacterial small subunit ribosomal RNA", at positions 527 to 896 of the family's 1533-position model. The record is from RNAcentral.